RNAcentral lists this ribosomal RNA (407 nucleotides) under uncultured bacterium. RNAcentral's name for it is "partial 16S ribosomal RNA". It matches the Rfam family "Bacterial small subunit ribosomal RNA", at positions 28 to 526 of the family's 1533-position model. The record is from RNAcentral.
GACGAACGCUGGCGGCGUGCCUAAUACAUGCAAGUAGAACGCAGUUGCGAACGGGUGAGUAACGCGUAGGUAACUGCCUCAUAGCGGGGGAUAACUAUUGGAAACGAUAGCUAAUACCGCAUACUUUGAGAUGGACCUGCGUUGUAUUAGCUAGUUGGUGAGGUAAAGGCGCACCAAGGCGACGCUACAUAGCCGACCUGAGAGGGGGAUCGGCCAAGCUGGGACUUGUACAAGGCCCAGACGCCUACGGGAGGCAGCAGUAGGGAAUCUUCGGCAAUGGACGGAAGUCUGACCGAGCAACGCCGCGGGAGUGAAGAAGGUUUUCGGAUCGGAAAGCUCUGUUGUUAGAGAAGUGGUAACUAACCAGAAAGGGACGGCUAACUACGUGCCAGCAGCCGCGGUAAUUC